RNAcentral lists this ribosomal RNA (595 nucleotides) under uncultured bacterium. RNAcentral's name for it is "bacterial SSU rRNA". It matches the Rfam family "Bacterial small subunit ribosomal RNA", at positions 60 to 651 of the family's 1533-position model. The record is from RNAcentral.
AGUCGACGGCAGCACGGACUUCGGUCUGGUGGCGAGUGGCGAACGGGUGAGUAAUAUAUCGGAACGUACCCUGGAGUGGGGGAUAACGCAGCGAAAGUUGCGCUAAUACCGCAUACGAUCUACGGAUGAAAGUGGGGGCUCGCAAGACCUCAUGCUCGUGGAGCGGCCGAUAUCUGAUUAGCUAGUUGGUAGGGUAAAAGCCUACCAAGGCUUCGAUCAGUAGCUGGUCUGAGAGGACGACCAGCCACACUGGGACUGAGACACGGCCCAGACUCCUACGGGAGGCAGCAGUGGGGAAUUUUGGACAAUGGGGGCAACCCUGAUCCAGCAAUGCCGCGUGAGUGAAGAAGGCCUUCGGGUUGUAAAGCUCUUUUGUCAGGGAAGAAACGGUGAAGGCUAAUACUCUUUGCUAAUGACGGUACCUGAAGAAUAAGCACCGGCUAACUACGUGCCAGCAGCCGCGGUAAUACGUAGGGUGCAAGCGUUAAUCGGAAUUACUGGGCGUAAAGCGUGCGCAGGCGGUUAUGUAAGUCAGAUGUGAAAUCCCCGGGCUCAACCUGGGAAUGGCAUUUGAGACUGCAUGGCUAGAGUGUGU